RNAcentral lists this ribosomal RNA (391 nucleotides) under Calliaxina sakaii. Its description in RNAcentral is "partial 12S ribosomal RNA". The record is from RNAcentral. Lineage: Eukaryota; Metazoa; Arthropoda; Malacostraca; Decapoda; Callianassidae.
UAUUAGUCUCAACACUCGUACCAAGAUACUAUAAGUAAUAGUCCUCAAAACUAAAGGAUUUGGCGGUGACUUAGUCCAGUUAGAGGAACCUGUUAAGUAAACAAUAAAUCACACAGAGUCUUACCCGUCCCCACAGCUUGUAUACCGUCAUUAUUAGAUAACUCUGAUAGGAUUAGUCAUUCCAUUAAUUGAUUUAUUCAUAUAUUAGAUCAAGGCGCAGCCUAUGGAUGGGUUACAAUGAAACUUAUUAAUAAGAAUGUGGGGAUUAAACACCUCCGUGAAGGAGGAUUUAAUAGUAAAGCUGGCUUAACAAGCCAACCUGAUAAUUGACUUAAGUUGAGUAUAUAUCUCACGUCGCUUUCAUUCCCAGAUGAAAAAAGUCGUAACACAG